Molecule: long non-coding RNA, 307 nt
Organism: Hipposideros armiger (great roundleaf bat)
Lineage: Eukaryota; Metazoa; Chordata; Mammalia; Chiroptera; Hipposideridae
Exons: 3
Source: RefSeq, a predicted model, not a curated record
AUUUAAAGGUGUCCGUGAUUGCGUGUUUCUGUGAAUUGAUGUAGAGGAGUGUAGAUUUCGGUAACAGUUUUCAUAAGCAAUGUGAGCAACGGUUUUGCCUUGGGUGGAGAAUCAGUGCGUAUAGAAUCAUAGAAUGCUACCCUAGAAAUUACCGUGAAGAGGUCUGAAUCCAGAGGGUGUCAGUCACAACAGGCUUGUGGGUUCAUAAACUCCUAAAAUAUAUUGGAAGGAAGCCAAAUAACUUCUUUAUGCGCUGCAUGACGAGAAGGCGUGAGUGCUGCUCUGCAGCUUGUUCAAAGAUCUCGCU